ACUCCUACGGGAGGCAGCAGUGGGGAAUAUUGCACAAUGGGGGAAACCCUGAUGCAGCCAUGCCGCGUGUGUGAAGAAGGCCUUCGGGUUGUAAAGCACUUUCAGUCGUGAGGAAGGUAGUGUAGUUAAUAGCUGCAUUAUUUGACGUUAGCGACAGAAGAAGCACCGGCUAACUCCGUGCCAGCAGCCGCGGUAAUACGGAGGGUGCGAGCGUUAAUCGGAAUUACUGGGCGUAAAGCGCAUGCAGGUGGUUUGUUAAGUCAGAUGUGAAAGCCCGGGGCUUAACCUCGGAAUUGCAUUUGAAACUGGCAGGCUAGAGUCUUGUAAGAGGGGGGUAGAAUUUCAGGUGUAGCGGUGAAAUGCGUAGAGAUCUGAAGGAAUACCAGUGGCGAAGGCGGCCCCCUGGACAAAGACUGACGCUCAGAUGCGAAAGCGUGGGGAGCAAACAGGAUUAGAUACCCUGGUAGGAUAGCG
RNAcentral lists this ribosomal RNA (474 nucleotides) under uncultured bacterium. Its description in RNAcentral is "bacterial SSU rRNA". It matches the Rfam family "Bacterial small subunit ribosomal RNA", at positions 335 to 799 of the family's 1533-position model. The record is from RNAcentral.